GCCGGUGUUGUGCGGUGAAAAAAGUGGACUAGUCAGCAGGAUGCGAGGAGAACUGUACCGCAUGAACUUCAUGAAGUCCAAACACUGCUCCCGCCUCACUGAUGAGAGCCUACAGUCCUGUAUGAAGAUCGAAGUGACAUCUUACGGCCCCGAACUUCAGACACAGAAGUCACAUUAAACAGGUGCUUCAGUUGACUGCUGGCUGAGCAAAAAGCCCAAAGAGGACGAGAGAACGCUGACAUGGAGACACUCCAAAUUUGAUGUUUCUUUUUAAAGCUGCUAAGCUGCAGCUAAAUGUUUUAUUUAUGUUUAAGUGGGCUAGUUUUUAUUUUACUUUUACACAAAUAUAGGAAGGAAUUAAGUAGGCCUACAGUUCACAGUGGGCCUACAAAUGCACACUGCACUUCUGUUGUUGUAUUCAGUCAUUGUAACAGGUAAAAUAAAA
Oreochromis aureus is the source of this 445-nucleotide long non-coding RNA. The record is from Ensembl. Lineage: Eukaryota; Metazoa; Chordata; Actinopteri; Cichliformes; Cichlidae.